AUUGAACGCUGGCGGCAUGCUUUACACAUGCAAGUCGAACGGCAGCACAGGGAGCUUGCUCCCGGGUGGCGAGUGGCGCACGGGUGAGUAAUACAUCGGAACGUGUCCUGUUGUGGGGGAUAACUGCUCGAAAGGGUGGCUAAUACCGCAUGAGACCUGAGGGUGAAAGCGGGGGAUCGCAAGACCUCGCGCAAUUGGAGCGGCCGAUGCCCGAUUAGCUAGUUGGUGAGGUAAAGGCUCACCAAGGCGACGAUCGGUAGCUGGUCUGAGAGGACGACCAGCCACACUGGGACUGAGACACGGCCCAGACUCCUACGGGAGGCAGCAGUGGGGAAUUUUGGACAAUGGGGGGCAACCCUGAUCCAGCCAUGCCGCGUGCAGGAUGAAGGCCUCGGGUUGUAACUGCUUUGUCAGGGACGAAAGGAUACGUGAUAAUACCAUGGUCUGCUGACGGUACCUGAAGAAUAAGCACCGGCUAAC
RNAcentral lists this ribosomal RNA (480 nucleotides) under uncultured bacterium. RNAcentral's name for it is "bacterial SSU rRNA". It matches the Rfam family "Bacterial small subunit ribosomal RNA", at positions 29 to 501 of the family's 1533-position model. The record is from RNAcentral.